GAGGAUAUAGCUCAAGAAGUAAAGUGCUUGCCUAGCAUGUAUGAGGCCUUAAGUUCAAUACCCAUUAUCCUCA
This 73-nucleotide transfer RNA is filed under the name Dipodomys ordii (Ord's kangaroo rat). It matches the Rfam family "tRNA". From Rfam's summary of the family: Transfer RNA (tRNA) molecules are approximately 80 nucleotides in length. Their secondary structure includes four short double-helical elements and three loops (D, anti-codon, and T loops). Further hydrogen bonds mediate the characteristic L-shaped molecular structure. tRNAs have two regions of fundamental functional importance: the anti-codon, which is responsible for specific mRNA codon recognition, and the 3' end, to which the tRNAs corresponding amino acid is attached (by aminoacyl-tRNA synthetases). tRNAs cope with the degeneracy of the genetic code in two manners: having more than one tRNA (with a specific anti-codon) for a particular amino acid; and 'wobble' base-pairing, i.e. permitting non-standard base-pairing at the 3rd anti-codon position. Lineage: Eukaryota; Metazoa; Chordata; Mammalia; Rodentia; Heteromyidae. The record is from Rfam by way of RNAcentral.